UCCCCCGUAAAUUUAUAAAUUUUAUUAAUAUAUUUUAACGUACAGUUAUUUAUUUUAAAUGAAAUUUAUGAAUUUUAUUAAUAUAUUUAUUAUUUAAUGUAUAUUUAUAUUAUUUAAAUACAUUCUAAAUAUUUUAACGAUUUAUGCAACCAAACAUUUUUAGAAUUAUAUUUCGAAGACAAUUUGAAAUAUAUAAAAACUUUUGAUUUUGGAAAAGUAUUUCUAAUCGGGUUGUACUCAAAGCUUUUUAAAAUUAGAAAAGAAAUUCUAAUCCUAACCCAAUUAGAUUCCUAGGCCCAUAAACUCCAAAAGAAAAGAAAAAUAACCCACAACUAAUUUCUCUCUUCUCUCUCACUAUUCUCACGUACGUGAUUUCUUUUCUCUGUUCAUCCUUCACGCCUCUUUUUCUUCUUCUCUUCCCUGCCCAGCCAACCUCCACGAGCACCACCACUCGGCACCGUGCCGCCCUACCGCCGGCGUCCUUGCCGCGUCGCCCACUUGCUGUUGCACCACUGCAUAGACCGUUGGUUGCCUCUUCCCUUUCUGUUUUCCUCGUUACUUCUCGCCCUAGCCACCACCAUCAGCCUUCGCACCACCGCCCUGCGCCACCAGUAGCUUCCACCUGACCAACGUACCCGUCGCCGCUGCCCUGCUCAGCCGUCGGCCUCUCUUACUCUCUCCCUUCGCUUUCGCAAACACCAGAACUCUCUCCUCCCUUUUCGUGCUUCUCUCAUAACCACCACCAUCACCAAGUGUCGCCCAACCUCCGCGACCACCUGCACCGCCUUCGCGCCGCCAGCCUCCGCGACUACCUGUACUUGCUGCCGCGCAGUCCACCGUCGGCCGACCUCCCUCUCUUCUCUUUUUGGUUAUUUCUUUAACCCUAAAACUAUUUAAUUCUUUAAUUUGGUUUUAGUAAUUUAAUUAAUGUUUUCAUGCUUUAAAUCUAUGGUUUUAAUUAUGUAAAUAUAGAAAUCAGAUUUCAUAUUUUGCAUAAUGAAUUAUUUAAUUUUCAGAUUUAUUAAUUUUGUUAAAUAAGGGUUUUAAAUUAUUAAAGCUUGAAAUUUUAAGGUUUUAUUAGUUAGAAAAUCAUAGUAUGAUGUUUGUGGAUUAUUAAAAUUAUUGUUUCAACGUUCUAGCAUGUUAAAUUGGCCUUGGCGAAGUUUUAAACGAGUUUAUAUUGCUGAAAUUUAAAGUAUGUCUUUUGCGAAAAGUUUUCAACGAAUUUCAAUCACUAAUUCAAUAAUUAUGAUGCUAGUAAAUCAAAUGUUCGAGUUUUAAUGUUGGGGAAGGUUCUAAAUUUGUUUAGGACGCAUUUAGAACGCUUUAUUAUGAUCGCCAAUGAUUAGAAAUUGAUUGGGAUUAUUUGUUGGUUGUUUUAGGCGGAGAAUUCCCUUUAGGCGACUUUUGAAAGUGUUAAAGUGAUCUAUCAGUUUGUUUACAUAAGUCUCUAAGGAUCAAUAAGCGUUGCCCAUCUACAGGUUUGAAGAUGAUGCAUCAUUGGGAUCGGGAUUAGAGAGCUUGUAGUUAUAUUUUCUUUAUUAAGUGAUUUGGUUUGUUAACUUAAAUUUGAAAUUUGUCGUACUAUUCGUAUUUCCUUAUUUCAGUUAAUUGGUUUUGGACCUAAUAUGUAAUAAGAUUAUUUAUGAACCUAAAAGUUAGUUUUAUGUUUUC
Spinacia oleracea (spinach) is the source of this 1674-nucleotide long non-coding RNA. RefSeq lists it as uncharacterized. The transcript is spliced from 2 exons. The record is from RefSeq and is a predicted model, not a curated record. Lineage: Eukaryota; Viridiplantae; Streptophyta; Magnoliopsida; Caryophyllales; Amaranthaceae.